UUUCCCUCAGGAUAGCUGGCACUCGCUCGAACGAGUCUCAUCUGGUAAAGCGAAUGAUUAGAGGCCUUGGGGCCGAAACGACCUCAACCUAUUCUCAAACUUUAAAUGGGUGAGAUCUCUGGCUUGCUUGAACGUUGAAGCCACGAGAUAACAUUUUUAAAAUGGAUCAGAGUGCCAAGUGGGCCAAUUUUGGUAAGCAGAACUGGCGCUGUGGGA
Molecule: ribosomal RNA, 216 nt
Filed under: Burksilampus sp. D1006
Lineage: Eukaryota; Metazoa; Arthropoda; Insecta; Hymenoptera; Perilampidae
Description: partial 28S ribosomal RNA
Rfam family: Eukaryotic large subunit ribosomal RNA
Source: RNAcentral